GGGUCAGUAGGUUGGUCGUGCCACCGGUACGUACUGGUCUCACUGAUUCCUCCUUCCUGAAGAACCGUAAUGCCAUUAAUUUGGUGUUGCGGGGAAGCAGGACUGUUACUUUGAAAAAAUUAGAGUGUUUAAAGCAAGCUAGCGCUUGAAUACAUUAGCAUGGAAUAAUGAAAUAGGACGAUCGAUCCUAUUUUGUUGGUUUCUAGGAUUGACGUA
RNAcentral lists this ribosomal RNA (216 nucleotides) under Glomeromycotina sp. RNAcentral's name for it is "partial small subunit ribosomal RNA". The stretch from base 40 to 216 matches the Rfam family "Eukaryotic small subunit ribosomal RNA", at positions 686 to 864 of the family's 1831-position model. Lineage: Eukaryota; Fungi; Glomeromycota. The record is from RNAcentral.